This 342-nucleotide ribosomal RNA is filed under the name Triticum aestivum (bread wheat). Its description in RNAcentral is "partial small subunit ribosomal RNA". Lineage: Eukaryota; Viridiplantae; Streptophyta; Magnoliopsida; Poales; Poaceae. The record is from RNAcentral.
AUGACCGGCUUGCUUGGGAAGUUGGUUGAGGGGUCGACGUCCCUUAGUGCCUCUGACAGCGACGCGGUUGCGAGGCAGUUCACUUCAUUUGUCCCAGAACAUACACAUCGGCCAACCGGUUGCCGUGGCCGGUACGACUACAACAGUUCCCAAGAGCCCGGUGACACACAAGAUGAUGUAGAUGGAGACGCUGGCCUCAGCAAGGAUGACGAUGAUGACAUGGAUAAAGUGCAUCAGGACACCGAUGAUGAUGAACAUGCUGAAGUUCGCACAGGUGGCAACAAGGGCAAGGAUGCAACAGAUGUCCCCCCACCGGAGAAAGUGAAAGAACAUAUGGUGUGA